GAUGAACGCUGGCGGCGUGCCUAAUACAUGCAAGUAGAACGCUGAAGGAGGAGCUUUCUCUUCUGGAUGAGUUGCGAACGGGUGAGUAACGCGUAGGUAACCUGCCUGUUAGCGGGGGAUAACUAUUGGAAACGAUAGCUAAUACCGCAUGACAACAGUUAUUGCAUGAUAACUGUUUGAAAGGUGCAACUGCUCCACUACCAGAUGGACCUGCGUUGUAUUAGCUAGUUGGUGAGGUAACGGCUCACCAAGGCGACGAUACAUAGCCGACCGGAGAGGGUGAUCGGCCACACUGAGGCUGAGACACGGCCCAGACUCCUACGGGAGGCAGCAGUAGGGAAUCUUCAGGAAUGGAAGGAAGUCUGACCGAGAAACGCCGAGUGAGUGAAGAAGGUUUUCGGAUCGGAAAGCACUGUUGUAAGAGAAGAAAGAGUGUGAGAGUGGAAAGUUCACAGUGUGACGGUAUCGGACCAGAAAGGGACGGCUAACUACGUG
This 495-nucleotide ribosomal RNA is filed under the name uncultured bacterium. RNAcentral's name for it is "partial 16S ribosomal RNA". It matches the Rfam family "Bacterial small subunit ribosomal RNA", at positions 28 to 507 of the family's 1533-position model. The record is from RNAcentral.